This is a small nucleolar RNA of Jaculus jaculus (lesser Egyptian jerboa), 104 nucleotides long. RefSeq annotates it as small nucleolar RNA U13. NCBI's taxonomy places the organism in Eukaryota, Metazoa, Chordata, Mammalia, Rodentia, Dipodidae. The record is from RefSeq and is a predicted model, not a curated record. The transcript has a single exon.
UUCUUUUCUUGGUUCAUAAACGUGAUGUUUGGGCGUCCACACAUUUGCAUGACAUAUGCUUCCCACAAACCUUGUUACCACGUCUGCACAUUACCCAUCUGACA